GUGUGUUUAGCUGAUCGGUGGUAUAUGAGCAGCUCUCAUGAAUAUAGAAGGUCGUGGGUUCAAAUCCUGCAACACACA
RNAcentral lists this transfer RNA (78 nucleotides) under Puccinia triticina. RNAcentral's name for it is "tRNA-His". It matches the Rfam family "tRNA". Rfam says of the family: Transfer RNA (tRNA) molecules are approximately 80 nucleotides in length. RNAcentral also lists the same sequence under 1 other name. The record is from RNAcentral. Lineage: Eukaryota; Fungi; Basidiomycota; Pucciniomycetes; Pucciniales; Pucciniaceae.